GAUGAACGCUGGCGGCGUGCUUAACACAUGCAAGUCGAACGGUGAAGCAGGAGCUUGCUCUUGUGGAUCAGUGGCGAACGGGUGAGUAACACGUGAGCAACCUGCCCCUGACUCUGGGAUAAGCGCUGGAAACGGCGUCUAAUACUGGAUAUGUGAUGUGACCGCAUGGUCUGCAUCUGGAAAGAAUUUCGGUUGGGGAUGGGCUCGCGGCCUAUCAGCUUGUUGGUGAGGUAAUGGCUCACCAAGGCGUCGACGGGUAGCCGGCCUGAGAGGGUGACCGGCCCCACUGGGGCUGAGACACGGCCCAGACUCCUACGGGAGGCAGCAGUGGGGAAUAUUGCACAAUGGGCGGAAGCCUGAUGCAGCAACGCCGCGUGAGGGAUGACGGCCUUCGGGUUGUAAACCUCUUUUAGCAGGGAAGAAGCGAAAGUGACGGUACCUGCAGAAAAAGCACCGGCUAACUACGUGCCAGCCGCCGCAGUAA
This 484-nucleotide ribosomal RNA is filed under the name uncultured bacterium. RNAcentral's name for it is "partial 16S ribosomal RNA". It matches the Rfam family "Bacterial small subunit ribosomal RNA", at positions 28 to 523 of the family's 1533-position model. The record is from RNAcentral.